GCCCGAACCCCGCUCACGACGGAUCGUCCGGCACGUACCUGCCGGUGAAGGGAAGACA
Regulatory RNA element from Tersicoccus phoenicis, 58 nucleotides. It matches the Rfam family "msiK RNA". NCBI's taxonomy places the organism in Bacteria, Bacillati, Actinomycetota, Actinomycetes, Micrococcales, Micrococcaceae. The record is from Rfam.